GAAAAGGGGGCUAAUACCGGAUAAUACCUAAAGUCGAGUGGCUUAAGGUUGAAAGAUUUAUCACUGAAGGAUGGGUCUGCGUACCAUUAGUUAGUUGGUGGGGUAACGGCCUACCAAGACGACGAUGGUUAGCGGGUCUGAGAAGAUGAUCCGCCACACUGGAACUGAGACACGGUCCAGACUCCUACGGGAGGCAGCAGUGGGGAAUUUUGCGCAAUGGGCGAAAGCCUGACGCAGCAAUACCGCGUGAGUGAAGAAGGCCUUUGGGUCGUAAAGCUCUUUUCUGGGGGAAGAUAAUGACGGUACCCCAGGAAUAAGCACCGGCUAACUCCGUGCCAGCAGCCGCGGUAAUACGGAGGGUGCAAGCGUUGUUCGGAUUUACUGGGCGUAAAGNGCNCGUAGGCGGCNUANUAAGUUANNGNUGAAAUCCCGGAGCUCAACUCCGGAACUGCUCUUAAAACUGCUAAGCUAGAGAUGGUCAGAGGCGGGUAGAAUUCCUGGUGUAGAGGUGAAAUUCGUAGAUAUCAGGAGGAAUAC
This 537-nucleotide ribosomal RNA is filed under the name uncultured bacterium. RNAcentral's name for it is "bacterial SSU rRNA". It matches the Rfam family "Bacterial small subunit ribosomal RNA", at positions 153 to 709 of the family's 1533-position model. The record is from RNAcentral.